UACGGAGGGUGCAAGCGUUGUUCGGAAUUAUUGGGCGUAAAGGGCAAGUAGGUGGUCUCUCAAGUCUACUGUGAAAUCCCCGAGCUUAACUCGGGAAGUGCGGUAGAUACUGUGAGACUAGAGUACCGGAAGGGUGCGUAGAAUUCCUGGUGUAGCGGUGAAAUGCGUAGAUAUCAGGAGGAAUACCAGAGGCGAAGGCGGCGCACUGGACGGUAACUGACACUCAAUUGCGAAAGCGUGGGUAGCAAACAGG
This 253-nucleotide ribosomal RNA is filed under the name uncultured bacterium. RNAcentral's name for it is "partial 16S ribosomal RNA". It matches the Rfam family "Bacterial small subunit ribosomal RNA", at positions 524 to 776 of the family's 1533-position model. The record is from RNAcentral.